CCUACGGGUGGCUGCAGUGGGGAAUAUUGCACAAUGGGGGAAACCCUGACCCAGCCAAGUAGCGUGCGGGAUGAAGGCCCUACGGGUCGUAAACCGCUUUUGCACGGGGAUAACACCCUCCACUUGUGGAGGUCUGCAGGUACCGUGCGAAUAAGGGCCGGCUAAUUCCGUGCCAGCAGCCGCGGUAAUACGGAAGGCCCGAGGGUUAUCCGGAUUCAUUGGGCUUAAAGGGAGCGUAGGCGGGCGUUCAAGUCAGCUGUAAAAUCGCGCGGCGCAACCGCGCCCCGCAGUUGAAACUGGACGCCUUGAGUGCACAACAGGCAGGCGGAAUUCGUGGUGUAGCGGUGAAAUGCAUAGAUAUCACGAGGAACCCCGAUUGCGAAGGCAGCCUGCCGGGGUGCGACUGACGCUGAGGCUCGAAGGUGCGGGUAUCAAACAGGAUUAGAUACCCUUGUAGUC
This 459-nucleotide ribosomal RNA is filed under the name uncultured bacterium. RNAcentral describes it as "partial 16S ribosomal RNA". It matches the Rfam family "Bacterial small subunit ribosomal RNA", at positions 338 to 795 of the family's 1533-position model. The record is from RNAcentral.